UGCGGCUGGAUCCCCUCCUUUCUAAGGAGCAUCUUGGCGCCAUCGGCGUCCAAGGCUCACUACUCGGGCGCACGUUCCGAGGUGAGUCGCUCAUGGGUGGAACAUCGACUAGUGGCACCGCGCACGACGCGCCUCAGUACCUCCCUUGUGGAGUGGAACCUGGUGGGUUGGUGGCGGUGCCGGCACGCUGUUGGGUCCUGAGGGAACGGGCGUGAGCCUGACCUCGGGCCGGCCUGGUGGCCGGUGCGUCGGACCACAUCGAUCGGAUGAACCGCCUCGUGAGGGGUAGGCGCCGUGAGGGUGUGGGACCGCCCGUAGCUUGAGAACUGCACAGUGGACGCGAGCAUCUUUGUAAGUCUUUGUGGCAAGUCUUGAAGGGCAGACGGUGGAUGCCUUGGCACUAGGAGCCGAAGAAGGACGUAGCAGCCUGCGAUAAGCCUCGGGGAGUUGGCAAGCGAACCGUGAUCCGAGGAUGUCCGAAUGGGGAAACCCGG
This 494-nucleotide unclassified non-coding RNA is filed under the name uncultured bacterium. RNAcentral describes it as "partial contains 16S ribosomal RNA, 16S-23S ribosomal RNA intergenic spacer, and 23S ribosomal RNA". The stretch from base 363 to 494 matches the Rfam family "Bacterial large subunit ribosomal RNA", at positions 1 to 131 of the family's 2925-position model. The record is from RNAcentral.